This 76-nucleotide small RNA is filed under the name Flavobacterium crassostreae. Its description in RNAcentral is "Flavo-1 RNA". It matches the Rfam family "Flavo-1 RNA". Lineage: Bacteria; Pseudomonadati; Bacteroidota; Flavobacteriia; Flavobacteriales; Flavobacteriaceae. The record is from Rfam by way of RNAcentral.
CCCUAGCCCUGAUGGUAACGGCAUCCUUUUAUUCUGGGGUUCAGAAUAAAAGAUAUAGUGCACAGCAGGAAAUGGC